GGAGAUUGAGAGAAGAGAGAUUAAGAGCGGGUACGCGUUUGGGAGAGAACGAGGACGAUGGACUGUUUUUGGUUUCCAUUUCUUUUUUUUCUUUUUUUUAAUUUAUUUUUAAGCAGAGAUAAGCAUUGAAACCAUAAUUUUUUUUUAUGUUUUUAAACUUCCUAAGUUUUCAUUUUUAACUUCCCAAGUUUAAUAAAUAUUAUUUUUCAUUUUCAAUUCAUAUGCUUUUGAGAAACCCAACAGCCAGGAGGCUGGGUUUUUUUGUUGGUAAACCAACAGACCUUCAUUAUUGUUAUUUUAGUUCCUUUUUUUGUUUUUAUUCCGAUCUAGUCUGGUUUAUAUGUUUAAGCUGUUAUCUAAAUGACAACUAAUGAUAAAUGGUCUAGUGGAGAGGGGGUGGCUUUUAUGGUCUUUAGUGUAGUGGGUUCGAUACCCGUAUUGAGCAUUUUAUUUCUUUCAGC
Molecule: long non-coding RNA, 461 nt
Filed under: Lathyrus oleraceus (garden pea)
Lineage: Eukaryota; Viridiplantae; Streptophyta; Magnoliopsida; Fabales; Fabaceae
Description: Pisum sativum (pea) long non-coding RNA (PSAT_LNC036401)
Source: RNAcentral